This 462-nucleotide ribosomal RNA is filed under the name uncultured bacterium. RNAcentral describes it as "bacterial SSU rRNA". It matches the Rfam family "Bacterial small subunit ribosomal RNA", at positions 28 to 526 of the family's 1533-position model. The record is from RNAcentral.
GAUAAACGCUGGCGGCGUGCCUAAUACAUGCAAGUCGUGCGGUAAGGCCCUUCGGGGUACACGAGCGGCGGACGGCUGAGUAACGCGUAGGAACAUACCCCAAAGUGAGGAAUAACUGCCCGAAAGGGUGGCUAAUGCCGCAUGUGAUCUACGGAUUAAAGCGUUUACGCGCUUUGGGAAUGGCCUGCGUUCGAUUAGCUAGUUGGAGAGGUAAUGGCUCACCAAGGCUACGAUCGAUAGCUGGUCUGAGAGGAUGAUCAGCCAGACUGGGACUGAGACACGGCCCAGACUCCUACGGGAGGCAGCAGUAGGGAAUUUUCCACAAUGGGCGAAAGCCUGAUGGAGCAACGCCGCGUGCAGGAUGAAUGCCUUAGGGUUGUAAACUGCUUUUAUUAGUGACGAUUAUGACGGUAGCUAAUGAAUAAGGACCUGCUAACUACGUGCCAGCCGCCGCAGUAAAAC